RNAcentral lists this ribosomal RNA (207 nucleotides) under uncultured bacterium. RNAcentral describes it as "partial 16S ribosomal RNA". It matches the Rfam family "Bacterial small subunit ribosomal RNA", at positions 568 to 774 of the family's 1533-position model. The record is from RNAcentral.
CAGGUAGGUGUUUUGGUAAGUGAGUAGUGAAAUCCUUCGGCUCAAUCGAAGAAAUGCUAUUCAUACUGCCAGAAUUGAGUAUGGGAGAGGAAAGCGGAACUCUCGGUGUAAGGGUGAAAUCUGUUGAGAUCGAGAGGAACACCAGUAGCGAAGGCGGUUUUCUGGACCAUAACUGACACUGAACUGCGAAAGCUAGGGGAGCAAACA